Triticum urartu is the source of this 936-nucleotide non-coding RNA. The record is from RefSeq and is a predicted model, not a curated record. NCBI's taxonomy places the organism in Eukaryota, Viridiplantae, Streptophyta, Magnoliopsida, Poales, Poaceae.
CAGAUACAACAUAAUUCCAGCAGCUGUUGGAAGAAAUCACACGGUGGUUGUAACUAGCGAAGGGGAAAAUGCUUUUCAUUUGGUGACAACAUGCAUGGGCGGGAGGGGUUCACUAAGGAAUGGUGAGUGAUAAGCUUGAUCAUCGGAGCUUGUGAAACCGUGUGAGAUUUUGAAUCCCCACAACAAGCCCGAGAGGCUGGCACUAAUCACGAGGAUGGGGGCUGAGAAGAUGCAUGACAAGCUUCCCCAUAUGAUCAGAGCCGUGCGUUAAGCAGGGCUGAUUGUCACCUGGGUCAGCGAUCCCAUGCACCGGAACACCAUCAGCACAUCUUGCAGGCUGAGGCUUUGUUUGAUGUCCAUGAGUGAGAGGGAGCUACCCUGGAAGGGUUCACCUGGAAAUGACAUGGCAGAACGUUACAGAGUGCAUUGGUGAAUCCAACACAAUGACCUGAAAUGAUCUCAUUUCCUGCUACCACACACACUGCGACCCCAGGCUGAAUGCGUCACAGUCGCUCGAGCUGACCUUCACCAUUGCCGAUAGGCUAAGGAAGAAGGACAUGGAACAACCUCAUAUCUAGGGUACAAGCUUAAGAUAUAUAUCUUAUGUUUCUUCCCUGCAAAACCCUCUUCUGCUGCUAGAGGACAUAAUUUUACAUUCUUUAGUUUUUUCAGUAGUAUAGGUGGCGUUUGAUUUUGGAAAUACCGAGGAAAAUCUCCCUCAAAUAAUAGGAUAUAGUUAUUUUGUUGCAUUACCAAUUGUGCUUGGUUCAAUUUCUUUUGUGUUCAUCCUUUCUUUGAUGCAGAUAGUGUGAGAGAGAUUACAUGAGACCUGACAAUAGAUUACUCAUUCGCUAUCUGCUGAGAUUGUACAUAAUGUUUAUUGAUUAAAUUUGGAAAUGUAAUCUGAGAAGUAAGGGCAUCUAUAGUGCUUCCCUA